This is a non-coding RNA of Podarcis lilfordi (Lilford's wall lizard), 71 nucleotides long. The record is from the annotation of a GenBank genome assembly. Lineage: Eukaryota; Metazoa; Chordata; Lepidosauria; Squamata; Lacertidae.
GGGCCAUAGUUCAGUGGUAGAGCAUCGGUUUUGCAUGCAGAAGGUCCCAGGUUUAAUCCCUAGCAUCUUCA